GUAUUGAUUGCGUGUGACCGCAAAAAAAGAAAAGAAAAACAUUCUACACUGUAUCAAGUUUUAUGUGAAGACGCAAGCCCUCCUUGCAUAAGAAGGGCCCACGCGGUGAUGCACAAGGGGGGUGAGAUGGAUGUGUGAGAGUGCUUGAGCGUGCACAACCUUUGAAAGGUUAGCGACAGCCUUUGCACCCCCGUUUUACGAUAAUGAUCCUUCCGCAGGUUCACCUACGGAAA
Molecule: unclassified non-coding RNA, 233 nt
Filed under: uncultured fungus
Lineage: Eukaryota; Fungi
Description: sequence contains ITS1
Source: RNAcentral